UACGUAGGGGGCGAGCGUUGUCCGGAAUUACUGGGCGUAAAGGGCGUGUAGGCGGGGGUGCAAGUUAUCGGUAAAAACCCGAGGCUCAACCACGGGCCUGCCGAUAAAACUGCAUCUCUUGAGUGCAGGAGAGGGGAAUGGAAUUCCCGGAGUAGCGGUGAAAUGCGUAGAUACCGGGAGGAACACCAGUGGCGAAGGCGGUUCCCUGGCCUGUAACUGACGCUGAGGCGCGAAAGCUGGGGUAGCGAACGGGAUUAGAUACC
This 263-nucleotide ribosomal RNA is filed under the name uncultured bacterium. Its description in RNAcentral is "partial 16S ribosomal RNA". It matches the Rfam family "Bacterial small subunit ribosomal RNA", at positions 524 to 786 of the family's 1533-position model. The record is from RNAcentral.